AAGGAGGAAGCCACAAGCCAGCAGGGACUGCUAAUUCCUGCCACCGAGUCUAAAACCUCGGCCCCCUUA
Molecule: transfer RNA, 69 nt
Filed under: Alectura lathami (australian brush-turkey)
Lineage: Eukaryota; Metazoa; Chordata; Aves; Galliformes; Megapodiidae
Description: tRNA-Ser
Source: RNAcentral